CUUUCCACACGAUUCAAAAUCCCCAAAACAAAGAAAAACGACAUCGUUUUUGUCUCAAUCCAACAAAAAAAAAAAAAAAUCCCACCGAGGCACAGCACAGUAACAUCGUUUCUUUCUCUCUUCUUCUCAUUUCUGAUAUCUCUUCUUCUCCUUCUUCUUCUUCCUCACGCUCACACAUCCACACCAUACCGCUCCGCCACCGUUCCUCCUCCGGCGACGAACUUCCGGCGAGCUCUCCAGAGCUACGGGCUUAGCCCAAUAUCAACAUCACUGAAAAUGAAGGUGAUUUCUUCAAAUUUCGUAAUUCUCAAUGCUUUUGUUCGAUUCGUGUUUUUUUGUUUAUACAUUACUUGGUGUGCCUGUGUGUUUGUGAGAGAGAGAGAGAGAGAGAGAGAGAGAGUAAAGAAUAAUCUGAUAGAAUGUAAGUUGAUAAUGUGAAUUUUGAAGAAACCCUCAAUUUUGGAUAAUUAUGGAGGUUUUUGGUUCUCAAGGUUUCGUUUUUAGGGUUUCGUCUUUCAUGUGCUUAAUUAUUGGGAAAAUGGGAAGUGGGGGUUUUCAAUGUUGCCCAUGGGAUUGUGGGAUUUUGUUGAAGUUUAUUAGGUAUAGCUCAAAUGGCACUUCGUUCGCUUUUCAGAGUAAUGUGGAGGGUGAGGUUGUAGGUUCAGGACUUGUUAGGUAAGUUUUGAAGUUACAAGUAAGCAAAAAAGUUUGAGGAUUUUGUUGAGGUUUAUGUUGGAGAUGUAUUUGGGAUUCUGUUUUGAGAAUUUCGAAGUUGAAUUCUUGGGUGGAAACUUUUUUGUUGUGAGUUCGCGUGGUAUGAUUUGCGUGGGGGUUUUGAAUUCCUAUUGUUUCCAUGAGUAAGGAAUAAUUGAUAGAAUGUCAGUUCUUAAUGUGAAUUUGAAUGGCGGGAAAGUGCUGGAUUUAGGGCACUUCAGUCCGCUGUGAGAGUAAGUUGGAGGGUAUUGUUGUGGGUUCAGGACUCAUUUCGUGAGUGUGGAACUUACCAAUAGAAAAUAAAGUUUGAGGGUUUUGUUGAUUUAUUUUAUGUUGGAGAUGUAUUUGGGAUUCACUUUUGAGGAUUUUGGAUUUGAAUUGUUUAAACUUGGUUGUUGUGAUUUGGUGUGGCAUGAAUUGAGUUGGGAGUUUUUCAUAUGGGUUGAGGAACUAAGGGUGGUUGAAUCUCUAUACUUGAUCAUGAAGGUCGGACUAUGGUCACACGCAUACGUGCACACCCUAAAUUCUUGUAGCAAUGUAUUAUUUAUGUAUUUAUUUAUUUUGUGGCUAAAUCAAGAAUUGGGAAGGGGGGAAAUGAAUGAAAGACCUUAUUGGUGUGAAUUCUAUGCCCAGUAGAUUUCUGUGGCUGAGUUGAAGAAAUCAUAGAUACUAAAAUUGAUCUUGUGUAAGGGGCGUUGGUAGGCGACCUUAAAGGGCCAGAGGAGUCUCAUGUGCAGUUCAAGUACUCUCUGUUAGGCUAAAAUUCUGGGAGGAUAUAUAUGACUUUCUCUUUUUAACAAUCUUAUGUCCUUUUUUUGAUUAGUAAGUUACACAUGCAAGUAUGAAUCUGGUUACUGUUACCUAUAUUUUACUUAUAUAUAAAAAAGAAGUUACACAUGCAACUGGUGCCUGUUGGGCCUUGAACUUUAUUAUCUUAUGUUAUCAUUUUUGUUAUUUUAGAUGUCAAGUAUUAAGUAAUGAAGAUGAGAAAAUUGAAAAAUAGAACUUAGUUCUUUUACUCCAUUUUCUUCUGGUAUUGAGUUUAUUGGCUUAGUACAAAGCACAUGUGAUUUGGUCAGCAAAAAUGUCCCUUCUAAGUAGGUUCUUUUACAGAAGACCCCCAGAUGGCUUGCUUGAAUUUGUUGACAGAGUAUAUGUUUUUGAUUCGUGUUUUUCCACUGAAGUCUUGCCUGAUGGAAUGUACCAAAUAUACUUGCAUGAAAUCAUAACUGAGUUACACGAGGAAUUCCCA
Quercus robur (English oak) is the source of this 1966-nucleotide long non-coding RNA. RefSeq lists it as uncharacterized. The record is from RefSeq and is a predicted model, not a curated record. The transcript is spliced from 2 exons. NCBI's taxonomy places the organism in Eukaryota, Viridiplantae, Streptophyta, Magnoliopsida, Fagales, Fagaceae.